UGGGGAAUAUUGGACAAUGGGCCACAAGCCUGAUCCAGCAAUUCUGUGUGCACGAUGAAGGUUUUCGGAUCGUAAAGUGCUUUCAGUUGGGAAGAAGAAAGUGACGGUACCAACAGAAGAAGCGACGGCUAAAUACGUGCCAGCAGCCGCGGUAAUACGUAUGUCGCAAGCGUUAUCCGGAUUUAUUGGGCGUAAAGCGCGUCUAGGCGGAAAAGAAAGUCUGAUGUUAAAAUGCGGGGCUCAACUCCGUAUUGCGUUGGAAACUGCUUUUCUAGAGUACUGGAGAGGUGGGCGGAACUACAAGUGUAGAGGUGAAAUUCGUAGAUAUUUGUAGGAAUGCCGAUGGAGAAGUCAGCUCACUGGACAGAUACUGACGCUAAAGCGC
RNAcentral lists this ribosomal RNA (385 nucleotides) under uncultured bacterium. RNAcentral describes it as "bacterial SSU rRNA". It matches the Rfam family "Bacterial small subunit ribosomal RNA", at positions 355 to 754 of the family's 1533-position model. The record is from RNAcentral.